GAGGGCCUGAUGCAGGUGCCCCUCCCCCUCCAGCUCUGCCUGAGACCCCACCCAGCAUGAGAUGGGGGUGGCCUGCCCAGAUGUCAAUCAACCUGCGGACACCAGACCUCCCCGAGAAGGCUCCGCCCUCGAAGCCUUAUCCCCUGCGGUGUCCCCACUAGAGAAGAAAGAAAAUGCGGGCUCACGCUCUUUUCCAGCGGGGAAGCUGACCCCUGAGGUCGCAGAGCGUCCCUCCCUUGAUUUGAAAAGGACUCUCAGUGUCGCCGCUUUCUGAGCUCAACGUCGUCGCAGCCGGCUCUUCUGAACCAGGUCGCCUCCCCCGCGCGGGUCGUUGGCGAGACCGCCACUAAGAUCCAGCGGUUCUGCCUCUUGGUUUUUCCCCCUCAGAAUGAGAACAGGGUCUUGAACAGCGACGCCCUGCUCUGGGGAGGACAUCGGUCCAGCAGGGGCAGCAGCCCAGGGGUCCACCAGCAGGUGACUACGGAAAUGUAAAGUCUAGACAGGAGUCAGCCUUGAGUGGAAGGAGAUCGGGCGACAGCGUGGGUGAGCCUGGAGGACGUUACUCUGUCUGAGUCAGAUUCUGUCCCCUUGUGAGGAACUUAGAAGACUUAGAGCUGACAGAGACCCAAACUGGAAGGUGGUUGUCUGGGCCCGGGAGGGAGCAGGGGGCGGUGCUGGUUGAUGGGGACGGAGUUUCAGUUCUUCAGGAGGGAAGAGUUCUAGAAAGUGAUGUCCACACCUGAAAAUGGUAAAAGUGGUCAAUUUUAUCUUAUCUGGAUUCGACCACGAUUAAAACUCUUAACUGCAAAAGAUCAACAAUAACAUUUUUCUAUAAGCAACGAUAGCUUUAAGGUAGCGCAGCAUAAACCCAAUAAAAAAUGAGCAAUACUUUAUGAGAAAAUGUGUAAACUUUACUAAAGAGCACAGAAGAAGAGCUCGGUGAACUGAAUGGACAGAGAGCGGUGCCCGGGUGACCUGGUGAUAUUGUGACACAAGAACAUGGGGUCCCCCCAUGGCCACAUGGACGGAUCCAGAAAGCACAUCCUCAGUUCCAACGCGAAGGUGCAGGUUGUGACCACCUUUUAUAUAAAAUUUAUAUAGAAGCACACGCAACAGUGCUGUGUCAUAAAUGUGGGGCACUUACCCCAAGAGGACAACACUACCUGAAAUGUGUAUCCUUUCCAUUUAUUUCAGGACAGUGGUUAUGCCUUGGUGGGGGUGGGAGAAGAGAAGGUGCUAUGGUUUGGCUCUAGAAUGUCUCCCAAGGGUGUUUAAGGCUUGGAACCUUUGAGAGGUGG
Molecule: long non-coding RNA, 1298 nt
Filed under: Marmota monax (woodchuck)
Lineage: Eukaryota; Metazoa; Chordata; Mammalia; Rodentia; Sciuridae
Source: RNAcentral